CCUACGGGUGGCAGCAGUGAGGAAUAUUGGUCAAUGGGCGCGAGCCUGAACCAGCCAAGUAGCGUGAAGGAUGACUGCCCUACGGGUUGUAAACUUCUUUUAUAAAGGAAUAAAGUGAGGCACGUGUGCCUUUUUGUAUGUACUUUAUGAAUAAGGCUCGGCUAACUCCGUGCCAGCAGCCGCGGUAAUACGGAGGAUCCGAGCGUUAUCCGGAUUUAUUGGGGUUAAAGGGAGCGUAGAGGGGUUGUUAAGUCAGUUGUGAAAGUUUGCGGCUCAACCGUAAAACUGCAAUUGAUACUGGCAAUCUUGAGUACAGGAGAGGUAGGCGGAAUUCGUGGUGUAGCGGUGAAAUGCUUAGAUAUCACGAAGAACUCCGAUUGCGAAGGCAGCUUACUAAACUGCCACUGACAUUGAUGCUCGAAAGUGUGGGGAUCAAACAGGAUUAGAUACCCCUGUAGUC
Molecule: ribosomal RNA, 460 nt
Filed under: uncultured bacterium
Lineage: Bacteria
Description: partial 16S ribosomal RNA
Rfam family: Bacterial small subunit ribosomal RNA
Source: RNAcentral